Non-coding RNA from Cinara cedri, 389 nucleotides. The record is from the annotation of a GenBank genome assembly. Lineage: Eukaryota; Metazoa; Arthropoda; Insecta; Hemiptera; Aphididae.
UGACCUGUAGUGCUGCUCAUUAGUUUAUUUGAAAUGUUUCUCUGUAAAUUCCCUACCGGUUACAAAAAAAAAAUUUAAACCUAAAAAUACAUGACGAUAAUUACAGUGGUUUUAGGUUGCUACAACGCAACGAAAUAAAACACGAUUAAUAUUAAUUUUACAAGUUUACUGAGAUCCGUUCAGAUUUCAGUAUACCAACUAAAUUGCCCAAUAUCCCCUGUAAUACCUUUCAAAAUUUCUAUCCUCGUAUAUAAUAGUGGCUUGCCCACGGAGUUUAUCUGGGCAUUUAAGGGAGAAGGGGGUAGUUUAAGUUCAUCAAACACCAAAUUGUUGGUCUUAUUUCAUAGGGCAGUGCCUGCUAAUAUUUUUUGUGAUCAUCGUUUUGGGAA